GCCGCCAUCGCACAAUGGAUAGUGCAACCCCCUCCUAAGGGGUAGAUGUGGGUUCGAUUCCCGCUGGCGGUACCA
RNAcentral lists this transfer RNA (75 nucleotides) under Janthinobacterium sp. Its description in RNAcentral is "tRNA-Arg". It matches the Rfam family "tRNA". From Rfam's summary of the family: Transfer RNA (tRNA) molecules are approximately 80 nucleotides in length. Lineage: Bacteria; Pseudomonadati; Pseudomonadota; Betaproteobacteria; Burkholderiales; Oxalobacteraceae. The record is from RNAcentral. RNAcentral also lists the same sequence under 2 other names.